Molecule: long non-coding RNA, 564 nt
Filed under: Junco hyemalis (dark-eyed junco)
Lineage: Eukaryota; Metazoa; Chordata; Aves; Passeriformes; Passerellidae
Description: lncRNA (ENSJHYG00000017346.1)
Source: RNAcentral
GUGCCUAACACGCUCCUGCUGGUUUUGUUUCGGUUUCUUGUCAGAGGGAGCUGUCGGUGGUGCUGAACUAGGGGUGAGUUUGUGCCAUGUGAACAUCCUCGGGGGAUGCAGCCUCUGCCUCCACUCUGUGCUCCCAGGUCUCUGGGCCAUCCCUGUGAAGGCAAGGUGAGCCCUUCUGCCUGGGGUAGGGAGCUGCCUCUGACUGCCAGAAAUGUCCCUCUGAACAGAGAUUGUGUAGCAGCUUUCUGCGAGGCGGAAAACAAAGCUUUUCUGUCAGCCAUUGGUGAAUGAAUGUGCUCCUCCUGGAACAAGCUGUGCCUUGAAACUAUCUGGUGCUGGAAGUAAACUAAUGGAGGUAAUGAGAGCAAUUACAGGCUCCACACUAUUGUAAUUCAUGUCUUUCUAGAAUCCAUACUGCAGAUGUGAAAGACAAGAAGCUGUAGGUAGCAGAGGUGAACUGCAGUGCCUUCCUUCCCAGGCUUUGGAGCAGGUGUGCUCCAGCUCCUCACGUCCCACCUUCCUUUCCUCUCACCAACUCUUUCCAUGCAGACCAUGAGAUCUUCC